This 893-nucleotide long non-coding RNA is filed under the name Medicago truncatula (barrel medic). Its description in RNAcentral is "lncRNA gene6352". Lineage: Eukaryota; Viridiplantae; Streptophyta; Magnoliopsida; Fabales; Fabaceae. The record is from RNAcentral.
UAUAAUAAUAAUUUGUGCAACAAAAAAACAAAUAGGGUGUACUGUAAUUUAUAAAGUACUUGUUGAAUACAUAUUUCUGUAAUAAUUCUAGUAUAAUCACUAGAAGACAUAAUCCAUAUUUUAAUUAUUAUUUGAAGAAACAACAAGACUGAGCUCUGCAGCAAUUCAACUAAAAUACAGUAUUUAAUAUUGUGUGUCUGCUAAGAUAAUGGUUUGACAAAACUCUUUUUUUGUUUGUACAAAUUUGACAAAAACAUUUUAUUAAUCUAAACAACUACAAUAAAUUUAAAUAUCUUGAUUUACAUUGAAGCUACCUUUUCCUUUAUAGUAUAAUUUUGCUCACAUGUGUGCCAUUAGUCAUGAAUCACUUGAUUAUGAUAAGAAAGGCAAAAUCAAUAUGCAAAAAUGCCAAGCCUAGUGCUAUAGAUUAUGAUGAUUUGUUUCACAAUAAAUUAUAAUUACAAUUUAGCACCUGCCUUAGACCUUGCCACAUCUUUAUCCAAAAUAAUUUCCAGGUGACCCUAGAAGCAAUAGGAGUUGGAGUUGGAGUUGGAUAGAAUUCAUUUUGUUUGUUGUUGUAGUUAAUCAACUAAAUAAUUAGUUAGAGCUACAUGAUUAUCCACCACAACUAGCUAGCUACUUCAACAAUAAAGGACACAAAUUUUAAUUUGUACCAAAUCCCUCGGUUAAGUAUUUUACUUUGGCAAGUCAAAUUACUAAUUGCUAGAUAAUAUCAUCUAUAAUUAAGACUAAUUAAUAGUUCAUACUUAUAAAUAAUCUAUGGUUAUUGUAAUUUCCCAUUUGGUAUUAGAAGACAAAAGAUAUUGUAAAUGCAUAAUUUUAAUGUGAAGGCAAAUGUAACUUAAGGCACACUCAACACAACUCAAUGGAAU